AGUUGAUCCUGGCUCAGGAUGAACGCUGGCGGUAUGCUUAACACAUGCAAGUCGAACGGAAGACUUCGGUCUUUAGUGGCGGACGGGUGAGUAACGCGUGAGAACAUGCCUUUAGAUUGGGGACAACAGUUGGAAACGACUGCUAAUACCGAAUGUGCCCUUAGGGGUGAAAGAUUUAUCGUCUAGAGAUUGGCUCGCGUCAGAUUAGGUAGUUAGGAGUGGUAACGGCACACCAAGCCUACGAUCUGUACUUGGUCUGAGAGGAUGACCAGGCACACUGGAACUGAGACACGGUCCAGACUCCUACGGGAGGCAGCAGUGGGGAAUUUUCCGCAAUGGGCGCAAGCCUGACGGAGCAAUACCGCGUGAGGGAGGAAGCCUUUUGGGGUGUAAACCUCUUUUAUUAGGGAAGAAUAGAUGACGGUACCUAAUGAAUCAGCAUCGGCUAACUCCGUGCCAGCAGCCGCGGUAAUACGGAGGAUGCAAGCGUUAUCCGGAAUUAUUGGGCGUAAAGCGUCCGUASGUGGCUUAUCAAGUCUUUUGUCAAAUCGUGCAGCUUAACUGCAUACGGGCGGAGGAAACUGAUGAGCUAGAGUGCGAUAGGGGUCACAGGAAUUCCCAGUGUAGCGGUGAAAUGCGUAGAUAUUGGGAAGAACACCAGCGGCGAAAGCGUGUGACUGGGUCUGCACUGACACUGAGGGACGAAAGCUAGGGGAGCGAAAGGGAUUAGAUACCCCUGUAGUCCUAGCCGUAAACGAUGACAACUAGGUGUGGUUCGUAUCGGCCCGAGCCGUGCCGUAGCCAACGCGUUAAGUUGUCCGCCUGGGGAGUACGCACGCAAGUGUGAAACUCAAAGGAAUUGACGGGGGCCCGCACAAGCGGUGGAGUAUGUGGUUUAAUUCGAUGCAACGCGAAGAACCUUGCCAAGGCUUGACAUCCUCGGAAUCCUUGUGAAAGCAGGGAGUGCCUUCGGGAGCCGAGAGACAGGUGGUGCAUGGCUGUCGUCAGCUCGUGUCGUGAGAUGUUGGGUUAAGUCCCGCAACGAGCGCAACCCACGUUUUUAGUUGCCAGCAUUCAGUUGGGCACUCUAGAGAGACUGCCGGUGACAAACCGGAGGAAGGUGUGGAUGACGUCAAGUCAGCAUGCCCCUUACGCCUUGGGCUACACACGUACUACAAUGCGUUGGACAAAGAGCCGCCAGCCAGCGAUGGUGAGCUAAUCUCAUAAACCAACGCUCAGUUCAGAUUGCAGGCUGCAACUCGCCUGCAUGAAGGCGGAAUCGCUAGUAAUCGCAGGUCAGCAUACUGCGGUGAAUACGUUCACCGGGCCUUGUACACACCGCCCGUCACACCAUGGGAGUUGGUCACGCCCGAAGUCGUUACUCUAACCGUUCGCGGAGGAGGAUGCCGAAGGUGGGGCUGAUGACUGGGGUGAAGUCGUAACAAGGUAGCCGUACCGGAAGGUGUGGCUGGAUCACCUCCU
RNAcentral lists this ribosomal RNA (1482 nucleotides) under Leptolyngbya sp. WJT66-NPBG2. Its description in RNAcentral is "bacterial SSU rRNA". It matches the Rfam family "Bacterial small subunit ribosomal RNA". Lineage: Bacteria; Bacillati; Cyanobacteriota; Cyanophyceae; Leptolyngbyales; Leptolyngbyaceae. The record is from RNAcentral.